CUUUGUUAUUUUUUCUUUAUCUCAUUUAGAAUAGUUUUUUAUCUCUAUUUACAGUGUUAACAUCUGUAGAAAUAAUUACAAGCUUUUUAUCCGAAAUUAUUUUAAACUAUACUUCAAUAUUUUUCAAUUAAUCUAAGUAUUAUAGUAUUUGAAAAAUCAAAGUUUUGUUGUUAUAAAAAAAGGAAGAAUAUUCUUGUAAAUUAGCACAUAUACUUUAUAUUAUUUUCUUAUAUCGAUCGCUAUUGUAACAAAAAUUAACUAUAAUGUAAAACAAACUAUAAUGUAAAAAAAGUUAGAUGCAGAAUGCAUGGAUCUAUUAAAUAAAGGAUGUCUAGAAUUCAUAAAAUCAAAGAAUGUUUUACAUGCUUCAAGUUAUAUUUAAGAGUUUUAGAGUCUAAUUAAUGAAGUCUUCAUUGCAGAUAAGAUCUAUAUGAAGAGAGAGAAAGAGAAAGAGUUUUAGUCUAUCUAUUUAGGUAUUAAACCGCAUAAGUUAUGGCCCCACAUAGUCUAUAUUAGUUACGCGAUUACUUACAAUAUAUCAUUAAAUAUAUAUCUUACCUACUCAACAUUUAGUAUAAUUGAAUAUUUAUUAUAUGAUUUAUAAUUGACAGAUGUCUGACUAAAAAUGCUAAUGUGUUUGAACCACUAGAAACUUUCCUGAUCGCUUUGGCACAAAGUUGUCUAACGGAGAACUCUUACGAUACACACAUAUAAUAUAUAUAUAUAUAUAUGUUCCUAUCUACGUCAGUUCCUGAUAUGUUUCAUAUUUCUUCAUUUUAAAUUAAUUUAUAGAUAACUCUUAUCUUGUUACUGGCAGUACAUUAUUUUCAACAAUAGUAGACUUAUGUAAGGCUAAUGAAUGGUCAAAUUGCUUGAAUUGUAUGUAUAUAUAUAUGUAGAGAGACUUGUAGAAACUAGAAGAAAUGAUAUAUAUGAAGAAACAUCUUUUUUAAAAAUUAUAUUUUAAUCUUUAAAGUUCAAAUUGUUAAAUAUUCGAUAAAGAUUGACAAAUUGAUGAAAACAAUAAUUGAUUACCUUAGUUGUCUCCGUGUAAUUUUGCGUACAUUUUAUAUAUUAUGCUUUAAUUUAAUAAUUGUGCUUCUUUACAAAAGAUUACCUAGUAUGAAAUUUUAUACAAAAAUAUAUCAUUCUUUGAAAAUUUAUUUUAUUUCAAGCAAUAUAUAAGUAUUUGAUAAAAUAUAAAAUUAUCUCUAUGCUGUUUUCAGCAGUUUGUACAAGCUCUCAUUACAUUAUGAUGUAUUAAUCUUAAGUAAUAAUGGCAUAAAUCGCGGAAUACUAUUGUCGUGAUAAAUGUCUGUUGUGCAAAUAAUUAUAUAUACAUGAAAGAGUCUAGGAGAGUCAUCGAUAUCAAAAACUUAUGUGAGAAUUUUACAAACUUUUCCAAAGAUUCUCUUCUUCGAAUAUAUAUAUUUUAAUAAUUAUAGAUAUUAAAUUUGCUAGAUAGAACGAAUUUGAACGUUCGUUUAUGUAUCCAAGAAUCUUUGAAUCCCAUUCGUAAAAUUCUAAAAAAAAGCUAGUGUGCGACCGUAAUUGAAAAAAAGUCUUUUAUAAUAUAUCCGGCCUUAUUUUGGCUCUUAAUUAAAACUGAAAAACGUUCGUGAAACUUUACAUCGCUUCUAGGUCCUUUUUAUUGUUCCUCUUGAUGAUUGGCACCGCCGCCCAGAGCGCGGUGCCCAGGAUCAAGAUGAUUCCGAAGGCCAGAAAGAUGGGCUUAUAGGAAAGCACAUUCUCGAAGAUGACCCCGCAGACGGGCGGGCCUACGAGCUGCAAAACUCCAUUGACGAACAAUGAUAUUCCGUAGGACGAGCUGAGCUUCUCGGUCCCCAGCAUAUCCGCCAGGAUGACCGUCGUGAUGCCGAUGUACAUGCCCGAGGAUAGGCCGAAGAGGGCGCAGAAGAAGGACAGCAUGGUGUAGCUGGUCGCCAUAGGUAGCAACGCCAGGGCGAUGCCGCUGGUGCCGAGUCCCACCACGAAGUAAUAAUAUUUCGGGACAAAAUCGAUGUCGGACAGAGAAGCGCCGCUGAUUCUGCCAACGAGAUCCAACGCGGAGACUAUCGACAGCAGCAGGGCCGACGAGUUCCUGUCGAAACCCUCGGCGAUCGCGUAGGACGGCAGCAGUAUCAUGAAGUUCGUGUUGCUGAUGGCCGACGUGGUGUUGGAGAUCAGAAUUACCAGGUAAAUGGGAUCCCUCAGCACGCUGAAGUCGAAGAAAGGCUGAGUCUUCUCGGACUUCUUCUCGAGCUUCCUCGAAGAUGUCUUCCGCGAAGAUUCCUUCGCGCACUUCUCCACAUUCUGGGAAUUCUCCGCGAUUUUCGAAGACUCGAGCUGUUUGCCGUUCUUUUCGGCAACAACGCUGCCUCGUCGCGAUAAAUUCCGCGUAAAUUCGUCCUCCUUCGGGAGACUCGGACGAGUCGUCAGGCAAAUCUCAUUCUCGACAUCCGCCCGCGAGAUGUCAUCCUGCGCGCGAGAGAUCGCGGAGACGUCGGAAGAUCGUAAUCGAAGAACUGUGUCGGUGCUCCGAUCGUUCUUCUCGGGAUUACACGACGUCUUCUCGCUGAUCGAUUCUAGAACCACAUGGUGCGAGAGAUCCGAAAGCUUAUCGUCAUUAUUGUAAACAGUUUGAAGAUUCGAAUCGUACUUUGAUUCACCCUGUGUCUUUUCAGCCUUCAACAUGCGUUUCCCGUCGAUAGUUUCGUCGAGAGUCAACGCUUCGUUGUCGAUGCCUUCGUCUAGGUAUACGAUUUUCAUGUGCUGCUCGACCGGAUGGUAGAGCAGGCCACAGACUAGGGUAUUCAGCGUGAUAGCACCCAUGAUGAGUACAGCACCUCUGAAAUAUAAUCAGAAAUCUAAUUUAAGUAAGAUUUUUUCUAAGUUACCUGUAUCCGAAGCAGUCCAGGAGAUAUUGCAGGAACGGCGGUAAAACUAUGGUGCCGAUUGCGCUGCCGGAGAUGCAUAAACCGUUUGCCACCCCUCGCAGCUUCUCGAAGUACUGCGUGACGAUGUAAACCGUCGGUGGAAACGAUAAUCCAGCCCCGAUCCCGACCAUAAUUCCAUAACUAAAUAGAAAAGAAGCACGUCAAUCGAGCAGCAUCAUACCUGACGUAAAGAUAAGAGACCGAAUUGGCAAAGUAGCUCAGCAUCAUCCCGCUGGCCGCGAAGGUGCCGCCAAUUAGAGUCACGGUUUUAUAGGAGUACUUGGUCGACAGGAUACUAGAUAAAGGACCUGCAGAAAAUCUGCGAUUAAGAUAUCCUUGCGGAAGCCGGGAUUUACCUAAGGAGCUGUACAGAAAGUAGCAUAACGCCGGCAUCCAAGAGGCCGCCGUGGAAGAGGCCUUGAAGACGUGCAGAAACUCGACGAAGAGGACGCCGAAGGACUUGACGGUGCCCGGGAUGAGGAAGUUGACGAGGAGGGCGGAGAAGAGGACCACCCAGCCCCAUCCGCCGUCCGGCGGGACCAUCUUCGUCUUCCUCGCCUUCCUUCGCGUCGGCAUACUUUUUUCUAUCGCGACGCAAGCGGGAGGUUGCGUGCAGGUUUCCUGCGACUCUCGGCUGCGAACAUUCGAGGGAGAUGUUGUCUCGUUACGCGUGGAUUAUAAUAGACACUUUCUGCCGCGGGCGAAGAUCCUUCCUGCGUCCCUUGAUUCACGAUAUUUGCGAACAAACGAGGGACAAAUCUUUGCCUGGAUCAUCCGAUUUCUUUUCCCCCAGAAGGAUUCUCUUUUCACACUCAGCUGCAUAUACAGCUGAUAAGCCUUUGUGUCUUCACCUGAGCACGCACCGGGAAUACGCACGUACAAUUUUUAUUGGAAUUGUGAGGUAAAACGUGUCCCAUUACUAUUCCGCGAACGGUCGAGGGAAAACUCUUCCAUCUGCGACGAGUUAGAGCUAUUAUUCACGUUUUGCGUUUCUAAUUAUAAACACGUGAGAUAUAUAUAUAUAUAGUUGGGAAACUAUUUCAGUCGCGUCGUAUGAAAGAGAGAGUAUAUUUAAGACUCAUAUUAACAUCAUGAUCGUUUAUACAUCGUAGAACACAUCGCAAUCAUCGGAAAUUCACAGGAUGAAAGUCGUUAAACAAGACUCUCGCAAGACUACCUUCGUUUUAAUAGACUUGUAAUAGAGUUUUAAUGGACCCAUGAGUAUUACUUUGAGAAAAAAAAGAUCUCUCGGAAUUGAUAGUUGAGGUUUGAAAUAAAGAAGAGUAAACCUUUGAUCAGGGAAAGAGAGUAAGAGAUUUUUUUUCUGAAAAUUUUAGACCAACUCUAAUUCUUUCUUGUCCUCUUUUAAAAGCUUAACGCGAAGCUACAAAAAUAUAGCGAACGAUAAAAAUAAAAUACUUAGCGGUAUACUCGCAUUGACGUCUCAGCUCGCGAUUUGUGUCUUUGUCGUAUUAAUUAGCAUCUCGAUGACGAGCGAGUUAUGCUCUAUUCGCGCAUCGGUCGCCAACCAAUCGUUCCUAACAGAUCCGGCUAUCGCGUGGCGCGUAGCUAUUCAUUUAGAAUCACGUGGCUUAUAAUAUGUGGCUUUUAGAUUUGAACCUUUCGUCACGUUUUGCACAUAUCUGCCCGUUAAUUGAAGCCACGAAUCACUGAAAACCGGACUUUGACAGUUUAAUAGAGAGAUUCUAGCGAAAAGCAUUAAUAUUUAUUCAACGCAGACUCGUUACAAGCGUCAUUUUUUUCUUUCGUAAUUAGUUAUACCAAACAUGUGAACUUUACAUUCAAAAUUUAACUGCGAGUGAUGUCUAUGUAGAUAAUUAAUAUCUGAAAAAUGUUUCUUAGACUUCUGUUACACCCUUUCAUGAAGUUUCUGUUAGAAAUUUCAGAGCAGAUCGUUCGCCAGAUUUCUCACUAUUUUAAGACGAAUAGGAUACGUAUUGCAAAAUAUUUUUAUUACAUUCGAGCACCGAUGAGCUCGUAAAUUUGUCAAAGAGACGUCAUCGAGAUAUCUCAAUCGAGUAUAAAAAUAAAAUUGAUUUCAACGCUUCGAGAGGAGGUGCUCGUGUAUUUUCAAGUUCUCUUAAUCACGGGACGGUAAUCUUGCUAAUCGACGCCGCCGAGGGUCAUCAUCUGCAUUUGCAUCUUUUAUUCCGAGGCGAGGCAUCACGUCAGAGUAGUACUGGGCAACGGUGAGAAAAGUCCCGUAAUCGGCCGCGCGGUUACACGGCUAACACUAUGCGACAGGUAGACGCAUCGCUCGCAAACAUCACGCCUAGAUUCUACAUGAAAGGCAAUCUUGUAAACUAAGAAUCAAAAAUUCUCUACGGCUCAUAUAAAACACGAAAAUCUAAGGGUCAAGGAAUUUAACGAUUAACCAAAUGAGCGACAUGAAUAUUUUAGAGAAGCAGAAGAAACCCACUAAUCUAAAAGUCAUUGAUCAAACAAUGGAUUCGACCAGCUUUCAUCCGAGGAAGGCAACGGGAAGCAGGAUGCUCAUCGGACGUUCGCUAUCAUCCUGUGUCAUGGACUAGACUGCACACUGGCACUGGAGAACCCGUUCCUCUCCCUCUUCUUUUUUCCUCAGCUCUUCUCGAACCGGCGCAAGAACACCCGAAGGCUGCCCUCGACUUUUAUCGUGCCAAAUCGGUCACCGCGCCUCGCCAUCGUGAGAUCGGGUGGUGCGAGCACCUUAAGUACGUAAGAAAUAUUGGUGUCCUUUUCGAGCUCUCGACUAUCGGCCUGGGUGGACUCUGGCUGGUUGGCUGACUCUCUGUCUGGUUGGCUGACUGACUCCGGCUAGCUGGCAAUGCCGACUUUUAACUGAACCACCACACGGAAUACUGCUCCCGGUAUACCGCGGAGAGACUACAAGGUGGAGACAGGUCGAGUAGCGUGAUCCAGCGCGCGAGAGGGUGGGAGAUUUCUUCCGCUGCACGCACAACCACCGCUUGCUCGGCUCCCACCAUCGUUAAUGGACAUUAGAUCGCAGAUUACUUUAUGCACACCGCAGAAUAUAGGAUUCCAAGGAUGUAUACCUUCAAAAAUUUCUUCGCUUAAUAAAAGCUGAACAUCAAUCAUCUUCCAAUUCAAAUCCCAAUAUUAUCAGGAAAAUGAAGAGCAUGUAUGAUAUAAUUCUUGUAAGUACCCAGCAAGCAUACAUCAUUUUGACGUUUAAUACCCAAGUAGCAAACUGACGUCAUUCUGUAAGAUUAGCUACAUAUAUAUAAUAAUUAUAAUAAUCAUCAGAAUUAUUAUGAGUAAUACAAUUCUAUCAACAAAUGUCAAACUAGUUAAUGAAGCAAAUUAAGUCUCUUCCAUUUCUAUGUAAUAAUAUUGCAAAAAAUUGUCAUAUUCGCAGCUAGUAAUUUUUAGCUCCAUUAACGAUCUAUCAAUUUAUAUUAUAAUCGCUAUAUUUUAUUCUACUGAUUGUGCGAGCCCUAUAGAAUACACGGGGAGAAUUUCUUUUGCGCUUGUCUUCUCGGACGGUGAAUCCUGAUCUUCCUUUUAGGCAACGACCUUUCUUCUUGCACUUCUCCUUCUUCGAUCUCCUCCUUGCUCGGCGAGUCUGGAUCGUCAUUCUGCAGGUUCGCAUCAUUAGUUUUUAUUUUGCGACUGUACGGUGCUAUUUUUAUCCCACGCAGUUCCUCCUCUUUUCUUCUUCCUCUUCUUCGUCUUCUUCGUCCUUCCUCGCCCGUUCUCGAAGACUACCUGCGCGCACGUAGCGUUAUUAUUAUACGGAACUUGAAUCCAAGAAACACCCGAAGCAGAUCGGGGCGAGGAUCCAAAAGGUUUCUCGAUCGAAGAGUUCAAGGAACUUAACUCGGGGUCGCUUUUCGCGCGAGGACGGCUUUCAUGACGCGGCGCCGCACGUCCAAGCCUAAGCAAAGCACUAACUCGAGAACUGGUUUUGCCGCGGAAUACCCGAGUCGGCGAACAAAGAAGGCGGCAUUGAUUACGAUGUAUCGAGGGACACGAAGAGAGAAGAAGAAAAAACCGCCAAGAUAUUUAUGGUUUUUAUUACGGAUACGACAACGCAUCGGUGGAAGUAAUCGCGUGGCAUCAAUAUUAGCCCCGCGGUCUGGUCAAGAAUAGCCCAGGUGUGGGAAUCCCGUCUGACCACCUUGCGCCCUGAGAUCGGCGGCGUCUAAAUUAGGGUGAAUGUGCCGUUGGAGGUAUCAGUCGAAGAGGCGCAAAAUAUAGCACGUCAAUUAAAAAUUCCAUACAUCGAAUGCAGUGUCAAGUUACGGAUGAAUGUUGAUCAAGCCUUUCAUGAAUUGGUGAGAAUCGUCAGAAAGUUUCAAUUGUCGGAACGACCACCACUGAAACCAAAUUACAAGAAGAAUAAGAAGAAAUGUUGCGUGCUGUAAUAAAGAAAUUAUCUUGACAGAUGAUUUCAUACUAAUUGGAUGGGGGAGUUCUAAUUCCAGUUAGAAAGAAUGGUAAAUUUAAAAUGGCAGAGAGAUAUGAAUUUUUAUAACGUACUUUGUCGACAACUUUUUACACUUUUUACACAUGAUUCAUCAUAUAAUCAAUAUAUAUGUGAACAUUAAAACAAUCGCCAAAUAUCGAAUAUAUACAAGAAAACUUAAGCACAAAAUAAUCAAAUCACAUGUAAGUUGUAAGAUAUUUAAAUUCUUUUAACUUUAUUAUGUUUUUUAAUUAGUAAUUUAUAAAGUUCAAUAGAAAGAGUAUUUUUUCUAUAUAGCAAUUUUUUCAUUGCACAAAUAGAAGCAAUAUCCCAGUGACAAAGAAAAAACUUUUUUAAAUUAAUAGAAACUGUCUACAUUCAACUAUUUUAUAGGUUGCAACAGAUUAAAAUUUUAUUUAUUUUCAUUAUUAUGUGUAGUAACAAAAGUUGAAUUUAUUGGAAACAAUCGUACAUGUCAAAUGUUGUAGAAUCUUUUUAUAAUAUAACUGAAAUUUGUUUAUGUUAGAUCUUAAUAAUUUGAUACAUUUGACAUUAACAAUUUUGUACAUAGUAGUAAAUAUGAUUAUUCUGAAAAAAACAAAGCAACACAAAUUUUAUUCUGUAAUGAUAGAAGUUUCUAAUAUAUGCUUCCAUGACCAAUAUUUGAAAAUAUAUAUGGGAUAUAAAUAUAUAGGAUUCAUACUGAACGUAAGAUAUAUUUUAUACUAAAAUAUAGGAUUUCUUCUUUGAAGUUCUCAUUUUUACGAAAUGCUCUUGUACGAGAUUUGUCGAAACACUUAAUUUCAA
Non-coding RNA from Nylanderia fulva, 8172 nucleotides. NCBI's taxonomy places the organism in Eukaryota, Metazoa, Arthropoda, Insecta, Hymenoptera, Formicidae. The record is from RefSeq and is a predicted model, not a curated record.